This 337-nucleotide unclassified non-coding RNA is filed under the name soil metagenome. RNAcentral describes it as "partial contains 5.8S ribosomal RNA, internal transcribed spacer 2, and large subunit ribosomal RNA". The stretch from base 1 to 120 matches the Rfam family "5.8S ribosomal RNA", at positions 35 to 154 of the family's 154-position model. The record is from RNAcentral.
GAUGAAGAACGCAGCGAAAUGCGAUACGUAAUGUGAAUUGCAGAAUUCAGUGAAUCAUCGAGUCUUUGAACGCACAUUGCGCCCCUUGGUAUUCCAUGGGGCAUGCCUGUUCGAGCGUCAUCUACACCCUCAAGCUCUGCUUGGUGUUGGGCGUCUGUCCCGCCUUUGCGCGUGGACUCGCCCCAAAUUCAUUGGCAGCGGUCCUUGCCUCCUCUCGCGCAGCACAUUUGCGCUUCUCGAGGUGCGCGGGCCGCGUCCACGAAGCAACUAUUACCGUCUUUGACCUCGGAUCAGGUAGGGAUACCCGCUGAACUUAAGCAUAUCAAUAAGCGGAGGA